GAUCCUGGCUCGGGAUGAACGCUAGCUACAGGCUUAACACAUGCAAGUCGAGGGGCAUCAGGAAGAAAGCUUGCUUUCUUUGCUGGCGACCGGCGCACGGGUGAGUAACACGUAUCCAACCUGCCCUUUACUCGGGGAUAGCCUUUCGAAAGAAAGAUUAAUACCCGAUAGUAUAAUGAUUCCGCAUGGUUUCAUUAUUAAAGGAUUCCGGUAAAGGAUGGGGAUGCGUUCCAUUAGGUUGUUGGUGAGGUAACGGCU
Molecule: ribosomal RNA, 258 nt
Filed under: uncultured bacterium
Lineage: Bacteria
Description: partial 16S ribosomal RNA
Rfam family: Bacterial small subunit ribosomal RNA
Source: RNAcentral